Non-coding RNA from Lonchura striata (white-rumped munia), 1695 nucleotides. Lineage: Eukaryota; Metazoa; Chordata; Aves; Passeriformes; Estrildidae. The record is from RefSeq and is a predicted model, not a curated record.
AUAUGCAUAAACAAAUUCAAAGAGUAUCUGAAAUUUAUUAAAAUAAAUUUAAAAAUUUAACAUGUUACUGAUUAUGAAGAAGUGUUUGUAAAACACCUGAUUUCUAAAAUAAACUUGUGAAUCUAAAAAGGUGCUAACCUGCAUACAAAAUGUGGACAAUUUUCCCCUUUCAAUUAAUUUCUAUUGUCCGGAGGAAUAACAAUGAACACAGGAAAAGUAUUUCACUCUUUUUUUUCUUAUGCUCCUUUAAAAUUAUCUCUUCACAGAGAUAUCCCGAGAAAUUAGAAGUACCCUAGGAAUCAGUAUUUUUACCAAAUAAUUAUUUUGAAAAUGAAUGUAUGUGCCAUUUUCCUUUGUUUUUUCAGUAGAUAAUUGUAAGUAUUGUCAUCAGGAAAAAGGGAAUAAAAACUAAGUCUAAAACACAUUGUAAGGCAACAAAUAGAUGCUUCUAUAUUUACAGUAAAAUAUUUGUAUUUUCUUUUAAUAGGAAGCCUUCAUAAAUUAUUAAAUCACGCUUGAUCAAGUUAACAAUGGAGUUAACUACAAGCAGGUAUCUUUUUAGUGCUGAAAUGGACACACUAAUUGUGAACCAUGUGGUAAGGAGCUCCCUCUAAAAUAUGCAGUAGCGCAUUUACUGGAAUUUAACAGGCUGUGUACUUUAAAGCCUCUCUUGCCUGUAAUCAUGUGAACAAACCUUGCAAGUCACAAAGAUCCAGCACAGCACAGAACAGCAGCACUGGAACAGCCCCCACCACUGGGUAAGGGACAGAAAGGAGAUGGUGACCUGCAACAGGAUGAGAGACCACACUUACCAGGAUUUGCUCACGGUUUUGCUCCUGGCAACUAACAUUUCCAUUUUUCUCAAAGCUUCUACAUCUGUGUCAUCAGACAAAGCCCCACGAGUGGUAGCAGAGCAAACUGAAGCCUUCAUUUUCAAGUUGGAAGAGAAAAAAAUAUUUACAUGUCUAAAUCCCAGAACUGACUGUUCAGAGGUCACUCUUUGUUGCCCACUGCUAUGAACCAUUAAGGCUUCCGAAAGCUCUAAAAGAAACAGGACAUAAUCUGGGGCAGAAAAAUCUUAUUGCUUUAAAUUUGCUUAAAUUCUAUUUCAUUGUAUUAUAUGAUUUUUGUCCUACGAGAGGAACAUGAAAGAUGGGAUGUUUCCAUCAUUGCUUGCAUUAAUGACUACUUAAAUUGACAUAGCUUGGAGGACAAAGCUUUGACCAUUCACUGAAGGAGAAUAUAUUUUAGUUGAUUAGGACUUUAGACUAUUUUAAAGGGAAAAUUACUGAUUCAUGCAAUGAAUUUUAUUGUUUUAUCAGCCUUACACCUCAGUAUUUAUAUAUAUUUUUGGUUACAAAUUUAGGUAAAUGUUUAACUAUGUGUUUUAAUGUUGUCCUGCCUUUUUUUUUUUCCUUUCCUGUUUAAGACAGGUUUCUCUGAAUCAAAUAUAGUGACAAUUAGUACAAUUUCCAGAUAUAUCAGCAAGAGUUUCUGUACUAAGUGUGGGAAUGUAGAUGUUAAGAGGAAGCACAAGUAAUGACUUUUUUUUUUUUCCAUUCACAAAGGAAGCAUUAAGACAUCAAGGUUAUUCAACAGAAAUUAAUAAAUGCACCCUGGAAAGUUAUUGGUUUGCCAAACUGUGAGAGGAUCUCUGAAAUAAUAAAGAUAAAAUAAAACAAAAACCUGGAGAAA